UUCCAUGUGAUAUAUAACGGGAAACACAAACACAAGGAAAGCAAUGAAACACUUUUCUGUGUCAAUGGACAGGUGGGGUUGAAAUGCAGUAAAGCCGGAGAAAACAAAACAGGCGCGUUUCAUGAGACACGGAGAAAGGAGAGAAGAUAGAAAGUUAGAGAGAUCAUUUUAACAUACACUAGCUUCUUAAUGUAUACUGUAUUCAAUUAUAGUUUCGGUUCUGGAGGAUAUUUUAUGCCAAAAUGAAAUAAAUACAUGCAUACAUAGAUAUUACGUUCCCUCUAAGGCUUUUAUUUAGUUAGGCACUGUGGCUAAAGUAACGAACUUCAUUUUCAGCCACACUGGAAAAAACUGAGGCCACUUGACAAUACUAAACAAGCUAUAAACAUACUGUUACAGCAAGACAAAAAGAUGUGUGUUUUAUUUGAAAACACGUAGAUGUUUAAAUGCCAGACAGUCCCCGACAUGCACUGAAGCAACUCGGGGAAGAUGCCAAGUUUGAGGGAUUUUAUGAAGAAACUGUACAGCUCCGAGGCCAUGGAGAGGAACGCAAACGAGAAAGACUCCGCCGUGGCUGGGAUGAUUAUGAACAAGGGCUCAGCUGCUUUAAUGAGGACACCGACCCAAACACUUUGGAGAGACCCCCGCGCCUGCGUGUUGAAGUCCUGGAUGGAAUCAUUUGUCAGCUAUCAGAGAGGUUUGCUGACAUGAAAAAGCUCCACUUCAGGAUUGUAGAUCUUGGACUCUCUAAGCAGCGGCUCUCAAACCAUGGGGCGUGGCAACGUGCCAAGGGAGGAACGAGCUGUGUGUCCUUUUAUUUAUUUAAUUCAUUAUUUAUUUGAGUCGUUGGAUGAUUUGAAGAAAAUUACAAAUUAUUAUAUAUUUUAAAAGUAUUAUAUUUAAAAAUAACUCAAAUAACGUUCCCCACUCCCCACCCCCUCAAGUAAACUUGAAAACAGUCUGAGCAGCGCGCUUACAGAGAGAAACAGCUUUAAUGAGAAACGGAUCGUUUUGUGACAAAGGGAGAAAAACGAACAACACAAACCGAAGAGAGGACAGCAGCGGAGGAUCCAGCAAAACACAGAAGCAGAAAAUAUGAGGAAGCAUUGUUAUGUUCACUAAUGUUUCAAUACUGAAAUCUAUUUGUUAUUAAUGAACAGCUAGCUUGUGCUUGUCCUUUAUUGACAUGCUUUCUUAAGUUAUUUUUCGAAACUUCCUGUAUCCUGGAAAACUACCUCAUAACUUACUAUCAAAUCUAGUAGUGACACCUUGUGGUCAUGAUAUGUAACUGCACAUCAUUACAAGCAUAUUUAAAACUGGGCUUAACAUGGAGCGGGUCCAGCGAUGCACCGAGGAAUCAAAUGUGCGGCGAAAUCCUGGCAAACCACAGCAUGCAGCCCUGCAAGCUACACCAGCAUCUCGAAACACGACAACCCUGCCUUAGCAUCUAAACCCGUAAUGACUUUACACAGGAAGCGCUAUGAGUUUCUUUAUUUAUUUUCUCUCGGAAAGCACUGUACAGAACAUAGCAGAAAAAAAUACAAACCACAAUACAUUUGUAUAGCAUGUCACACAUACAACUGCCACAAGCAGACCAUUUAAAUAACAGAUUUAAACAACAGUAUACACCUAAUAAUACAGAAGCAGAAAUUGUGAAGUUACAAUAAAACCAACUAAGAUAAGAAAGUUAACAGGACCAAAAAAAACAAAAUAAGAUUUUAGCUGCUUCCAUUUGUUCUGUUUUUGAAUGAAUACUUCUGAAACUCAUACUGCUCUAUAUUGAUCAAAUCCCUUCUACUCUUUUAUUCAUUUUUUUGCAGCAUACAGGAUUUUCAGUUUGUUAUAUUGUUUUAGUAAACUGGGGAGGCGCAGAUAUUUUUUUCAUAGCUCAGGGAGGCUCACUAUGGCAAAGUUUGAGAAGCACUGCUCUGGAACGUCAAAAAUACGAGGAAACAACCGAAAUAUCAUCAACAGAAGAAUGUAGGUGUUUAUUCCAUUGAGUUUAUUGUCUCUUCUCUCUCUUAUAGCAGGUUGCUCUGCACCAGACCGUGUUCCUGUCUCUGGCUCAGCUGGGGGGAGAGCAGUGCUGCCCUGUUCUUACACCCCCACCCCUGGGCAGGAUGUAGAAGUCACAUGGUAUGCAUAUCCAGAUCAAGGAAAAGCUGUUCUAUUAAUCUACUCAAAGACCCCCUCAGCACCCAUCCCUGCGCAGUGGAGUGGCCGAGUGAAGCUGUCUGAUGAAGUCUCCUCUGGAAACGCCUCUCUGCUAAUCUCUGAGCUCAGAGUGGAGGACACUCAGGAUUACAUGUGUACAGUGCAGUUCAAUGGGAUAUGUUUCACUUACAGGAAUGUUAAACUGACAGUUCAAGGACCUCCAAAGAAAGAUUCAACUACUUCAAGAACAACGACGACCAGAACCCCGACAACUAGACCAUCAGCAACCCCGACAACUAGACCAUCAGCAACCCCGACAACUAGACCAUCAGCAACCCCGACAACUAGACCAGCAGCAACUCAGAAAACCAGCCCAUGCCCAACCCAGCAGGGGAAUGCAGCAGCACAGAGGAGAUAGUUCUGCAUGAAACCGCUUUGAUAACUGGAUUCUAAUUGGAUUGCAUGUUCCUGUAUUUAGUGAGUGUUGUGAGUUAAGCGGAAGUUCAAUUAUUCCUGUGUGUUGCUGCUGCUGGUUCCCUAUGCCAGUAUAGUCCAUUGUGAAAGAGUAUUGCUGUUACUGUAACCCGCUGCAUCCUGCCUGUGCCUGCAUCUCUUCAUUUCUAUAUCAUUUUAAUAAGAGCGUUUUAGCAUUUUGAUAUAUUUCAGGCUCUAUCCAUCACUGAUAGCUAUUAGUUUAUUUUUUGUAUAACUUAGUUCGUGCUAUUUACUAUAGAUAAUUUUUAAUAACAGUUUUAUAUUAGUGAUGUGAAGACAGUUUAGAAUUUAUUAUUGAUUUCUUAAUUUUUAUAUGAUAUUACUGAUUGAAAAGUACAUUUGUUAAUUAUUUGCUUAGUAUAACUUAGUUAUUCCUGAUUACUAUUAAAUGUUAAUUGCACAGUACAAUAUCUUAUUGCUUUUCCUUUUUUGCUUAUGAAAAAUAAAAUAUUUAGCUGUG
Acipenser ruthenus (sterlet) is the source of this 3109-nucleotide long non-coding RNA. RefSeq lists it as uncharacterized. Lineage: Eukaryota; Metazoa; Chordata; Actinopteri; Acipenseriformes; Acipenseridae. The transcript has 2 exons. The record is from RefSeq and is a predicted model, not a curated record.